UAGGGAGAUCUCUUAGGUAAUCCGGGGGGUCAAUUCCGAGACGCGAUAACGAGCUGUCAAGGCUUCGGUCUGACGGUGAAGUGGUUGAUGCCAUGCUUCCAGGAAAAGCCUCUAAGCUUCAGGUAACAAGGGACCGUACCCCAAACCGACACAGGUGGUCAGGUAGAGAAUACCAAGGCGCUUGAGAGAACUCGGGUGAAGGAACUAGGCAAGAUGGUACCGUAACUUCGGGAGAAGGUACGCCGCUUGGGGUAAUCGGACUUGCUCCGUGAGCUCCGGGCGGUCGAAGUGACCAGGUGGCUGCGACUGUUUAUUAAAAACACAGCACUCUGCAAACACGAGAGUGGACGUAUAGGGUGUGACGCCUGCCCGGUGCCGGAAGGUUAAUUGAUGGGGUCAGCCGCAAGGCGAAGCUCUUGAUCGAAGCCCCGGUAAACGGCGGCCGUAACCAUAACGGUCCUAAGGUAGCGAAAUUCCUUGUCGGGUAAGUUCCGACCUGCACGAAUGGCGUAACGAUGGCCACACUGUCUCCACCCGAGACUCAGUGAAAUUGAACUCGCUGUGAAGAUGCAGUGUACCCGCGGCUAGACGGAAAGACCCCGUGAACCUUUACUACAGCUUUGCACUGGACUCUGAAUCUGUUUGUGUAGGAUAGGUGGGAGGCUAUGAAGCCGGAACGCUAGUUCUGGUGGAGCAAACCUUGAAAUACCACCCUGACAUAUUUGGGGUUCUAACCCAGGCCCGUUAUCCGGGUCGGGGACAGUGUAUGGUGGGUAGUUUGACUGGGGCGGUCUCCUCCCAAAGAGUAACGGAGGAGCACGAAGGUACCCUCAGCGUGGUCGGAAAUCACGCUUUUGAGUGCAAAGGCAUAAGGGUGCUUGACUGCGAGAGCGACGGCUCGAGCAGGUGCGAAAGCAGGUCUUAGUGAUCCGGUGGUUCUGAAUGGAAGGGCCAUCGCUCAACGGAUAAAAGGUACUCCGGGGAUAACAGGCUGAUACCGCCCAAGAGUUCAUAUCGACGGCGGUGUUUGGCACCUCGAUGUCGGCUCAUCACAUCCUGGGGCUGAAGCCGGUCCCAAGGGUAUGGCUGUUCGCCAUUUAAAGUGGUACGCGAGCUGGGUUUAGAACGUCGUGAGACAGUUCGGUCCCUAUCUGCCGUGGGCGUUGGAGAUUUGAGGAAAGCUGCUCCUAGUACGAGAGGACCGGAGUGGACGAACCUCUGGUGUUCGGGUUGUCACGCCAGUGGCAUUGCCCGGUAGCUACGUUCGGACGGGAUAACCGCUGAAAGCAUCUAAGCGGGAAGCCUCUUCCAAGAUGAGAUCUCCCCAGGGACUCGAUCCCCCUGAAGGGUUGUUC
RNAcentral lists this ribosomal RNA (1355 nucleotides) under metagenome. RNAcentral's name for it is "bacterial LSU rRNA". It matches the Rfam family "Bacterial large subunit ribosomal RNA", at positions 1520 to 2840 of the family's 2925-position model. The record is from RNAcentral.